ACACGCAUGACACACUGCAUAUCAAUAAGCGGAGGAAAAGAAACUAACAAGGAUUCCCUUAGUAACGGCGAGUGAAGCGGGAAGAGCUCAAAUUUGAAAUCUUCAAGGUUUUACCUUGACGAAUUGUAGUUUAAAGAAGUGUUUUCUGUUGGAGUUUUGGUAAAAGUUCUUUGGAAUAGGACAUCAUAGAGGGUGAGAAUCCCGUAUUUGACCAUUAUUUCCAGCUUUGUGAUACACUUUCAAAGAGUCGGAUUGUUUGGGAAUGUAGUCCAAAAUGGGUGGUAAAUUUCAUCUAAAGCUAAAUAUUGGCGAGAGACCGAUAGCGAACAAGUACCGUGAGGGAAAGAUGAAAAGAACUUUGAAAAGAGAGUUAAACAGUACGUGAAAUUGUCAAAAGGGAAGCGUUUGACACCAGUGUUGUUUUCUCGAAAAUCAAUUCAUGAUGGCUUGAUGCUAGGUUGUUAAGACUUUAUCAGCUUACUGUCUAGUUUUCUUAUGAUACUUUGCUGAAUGCACUUUUCGUUAACAAGUCAACAUCAAUUUCUUUUGUUGUAAAAGGGUAUAGAGGAAGGUGGCUUCAGCUUUCGGUAGAAGUGUUUAUAGCCUUGUACCUCUGCAGUCGGAGAGAUUGAGGUCUGCAGCGUAGAUCCUUCGGGGUUAGAUACAUUUGUGCUAAGUUAUAGCUUUUCAUAGACAACUUGUUGACUAUGUUUAGUCUUGUAGCUUACUCGCUUAUGCUAUUUUACCUACGCUUAGGAUGUUGAUCUACAGAGCGAGAGU
This 780-nucleotide ribosomal RNA is filed under the name uncultured Neocallimastigales. Its description in RNAcentral is "partial large subunit ribosomal RNA". It matches the Rfam family "Eukaryotic large subunit ribosomal RNA", at positions 23 to 628 of the family's 3401-position model. The record is from RNAcentral. Lineage: Eukaryota; Fungi; Neocallimastigomycota; Neocallimastigomycetes; Neocallimastigales.